RNAcentral lists this ribosomal RNA (553 nucleotides) under uncultured archaeon. Its description in RNAcentral is "bacterial SSU rRNA". It matches the Rfam family "Archaeal small subunit ribosomal RNA", at positions 326 to 879 of the family's 1478-position model. The record is from RNAcentral.
CGGGGUGCAGCAGGCGCGAAAACUUUACAAUGCGGGAAACCGUGAUAAGGGGACACCGAGUGCCAGCAUCAUAUGCUGGCUGUCCAGGUGUGUAAAAUACACCUGUCAGCAAGGGCCGGGCAAGACCGGUGCCAGCCGCCGCGGUAACACCGGCGGCCCGAGUGGUGAUCGUGAUUAUUGGGUCUAAAGGGUCCGUAGCCGGUUUGGUCAGUCCUCCGGGAAAUCUGACGGCUCAACCGUUAGGCUUUCGGGGGAUACUGCCAGGCUUGGAACCGGGAGAGGUAAGAGGUACUACAGGGGUAGGAGUGAAAUCUUGUAAUCCCUGUGAGACCACCUGUGGCGAAGGCGUCUUACCAGAACGGGUUCGACGGUGAGGGACGAAAGCUGGGGGCACGAACCGGAUUAGAUACCCGGGUAGUCCCAGCCGUAAACGAUGCUCGCUAGGUGUCAGGCAUGGCGCGACCGUGUCUGGUGCCGCAGGGAAGCCGUGAAGCGAGCCACCUGGGAAGUACGGCCGCAAGGCGGAAACUUAAAGGAAUUGGCGGGGGAGCAC